This 255-nucleotide ribosomal RNA is filed under the name uncultured bacterium. RNAcentral describes it as "partial 16S ribosomal RNA". It matches the Rfam family "Bacterial small subunit ribosomal RNA", at positions 524 to 777 of the family's 1533-position model. The record is from RNAcentral.
GACGUAGGGCGCGAGCGUUGUCCGGAUUUAUUGGGCGUAAAGAGCUCGUAGGCGGCUCGUUGCGUCGGCUGUGAAAACCCGCAGCUCAACUGUGGGCUUGCAGCUGAUACGGGCGGGCUGGAGUUCGGUAGGGGAGACUGGAAUUCCUGGUGUAGCGGUGAAAUGCGCAGAUAUCUGGAGGAACACCGGUGGCGAAGGCGGCGAUCCUGGACCGGCAUUGACGCUGAGGCGCGAAAGCCAGGGGAGCAAAGCGGG